Oncorhynchus keta (chum salmon) is the source of this 434-nucleotide long non-coding RNA. RefSeq lists it as uncharacterized. NCBI's taxonomy places the organism in Eukaryota, Metazoa, Chordata, Actinopteri, Salmoniformes, Salmonidae. The record is from RefSeq and is a predicted model, not a curated record. The transcript is spliced from 3 exons.
CUGUAAUGCCUUUUGUAAGGAGAGGGCAUAUUAUAUAUUUUUUAUAAUUACGUAUUUGGAUUGAGCCCAUCAAUCGUUGGUUUGUUGUUUGACUUUUCUCAGGCAUACCGCUGCACCCUGACCUUUUUAAAGGGUCAAUCUGGGAUUGGGAUACAUCGUGCUGGAACACGGACAUCCUGGAUGAGUAGUGAGCAGUGAUGAGUGACAGGGAGGCAGUCAAAGCCCAUGUCCUUCUGUCAUCACAGGGCCACCAGACAGCCCUCCACCGAGCAGCCAUGGUGGGGAACAGUGAUAUCAUAGACAGACUCAUCAAGGGAGGCUGCGCUCUAGACCUGCAGGACAAGGACGGCAACACGGCGCUUCAUGAGGUCUCAUGGCAUGGCUUCCGUCAGUCAGUCAAACUGUUGGUCAAGUCUGGAGCUGACGUUCACGCC